Peromyscus leucopus (white-footed mouse) is the source of this 316-nucleotide long non-coding RNA. RefSeq lists it as uncharacterized. The record is from RefSeq and is a predicted model, not a curated record. The transcript has 3 exons. NCBI's taxonomy places the organism in Eukaryota, Metazoa, Chordata, Mammalia, Rodentia, Cricetidae.
CAAUGCCUUGAAUGCCAGUUCUGAAGUGUGUCAGAUUCUUGCUAACAAUCCUUAUUUGCAGCAAGGCUACUUUUCUAUUACAUUCUCCAAGAAACUCCAGAUGCUGAAGGACCUUGCUGAGAAAUGCCAAAUACCUACCAUGAAAGAUAUCGUCUCAGUUUCUGGUAGAAAGUUUAAAAAAAUGGUGAGGAAACUUUCCACACUUUUAAAACGAGAGUGAUGGGUCACAAGACAAGUCCACAGCGAGUGCAAAGCAUCGUGAACACAGCAGUGCUCUGCACCCAAUUGUGACUCUUGAGACACAACCUAACUGCAA